UCAAAAACAUGUCUUUUUGAAAAUAAUUUAAAGUCUAAUCUGCCCACUGAUAAAAUUAUUAAAGGGCUGCAGUAUAUUGACUGUACAAAGGUAGCAUAAUCAUUAGUCUUUUAAUUGAAGACUUGUAUGAAAGAUUUGAUGAAAUAUAUACUGUCUCUAAUUUAUGAAUAAAAAUUAAUUUUUUAGUUAAAAAGCUAAAAUAAUAUUAAAAGACGAGAAGACCCUAUAAAGUUUUAUAAUUUAUUUAUUUAAUAUUAAUUAUAUAAUUAAAUAUAAUAAUUAAUUUAAAUUAUUUUAUUGGGGUGAUAAAAAAAUUUAAUUAACUUUUUUUAAAAAAUAUACAUAAAUAAGUGUGAUAAUGAUCCAUUAUUAAUGAUUAAAAGAAAAAAUUACUUUAGGGAUAACAGCGUAAUAUUUUUUUUUAGUACGAAUAAAAAAAAAAGUUUGCGACCUCGAUGUUGGAUUAAGAUAAAAUUUAAGUGCAAAAGUUUAAAAUUUUGAUCUGUUCGAUCAUUAAAAUCUUACAUGAUCUGAGCU
Molecule: ribosomal RNA, 537 nt
Filed under: Melitaea ambigua
Lineage: Eukaryota; Metazoa; Arthropoda; Insecta; Lepidoptera; Nymphalidae
Description: Mellicta ambigua partial 16S ribosomal RNA
Rfam family: Archaeal large subunit ribosomal RNA (bases 400-537)
Source: RNAcentral